This 253-nucleotide ribosomal RNA is filed under the name uncultured bacterium. Its description in RNAcentral is "partial 16S ribosomal RNA". It matches the Rfam family "Bacterial small subunit ribosomal RNA", at positions 524 to 776 of the family's 1533-position model. The record is from RNAcentral.
UACGUAGGGUGCGAGCGUUAAUCGGAAUUACUGGGCGUAAAGCGUGCGCAGGCGGUCCGCAAAGUCUGAUGUGAAAGCCCCGGGCUCAACCUGGGAACUGCAUUGGAAACUGGCAAGCUCGAGUAUGGCAGAGGGGGGUGGAAUUCCGCGUGUAGCAGUGAAAUGCGUAGAGAUGCGGAGGAACACCGAUGGCGAAGGCAGCCCCCUGGGCCAAUACUGACGCUCAGGCACGAAAGCGUGGGGAGCAAACAGG